Molecule: ribosomal RNA, 253 nt
Filed under: uncultured bacterium
Lineage: Bacteria
Description: partial 16S ribosomal RNA
Rfam family: Bacterial small subunit ribosomal RNA
Source: RNAcentral
UACGGGGGGGGCAAGCGUUGUCCGGAAUUACUGGGCGUAAAGGGCUCGUAGGUGGCCAACUAAGUCGGACGUGAAAUCCCUCGGCUUAACCGGGGAACUGCGUCCGAUACUGGUUGGCUUGAGUUUGGGAGAGGGAUGCGGAAUUCCAGGUGUAGCGGUGAAAUGCGUAGAUAUCUGGAGGAACACCGGUGGCGAAGGCGGCAUCCUGGACCAACACUGACGCUGAGGAGCGAAAGCCAGGGGAGCAAACGGG